GGGAAUCUGGAACAACUACCAAUUCAUUUAGUUGAAGUUGAAUCUUUCACAACUUUUAAAAGUGCAAUGCUGUGGCAUCUUGUGCUGCUGGUUCACUUGCAAACUGUUUUGCUGCCCAUGGGAACAACCCCAGAUUUGCUGGGAGCAUUGGAAUUAACAGAAAUCAAGCUUAUGAGGAAGAACUGGAAUACAACAGAAACAUGCGGG
Long non-coding RNA from Polypterus senegalus (gray bichir), 207 nucleotides. RefSeq lists it as uncharacterized. Lineage: Eukaryota; Metazoa; Chordata; Cladistia; Polypteriformes; Polypteridae. The record is from RefSeq and is a predicted model, not a curated record. The transcript is spliced from 3 exons.